GGGAAAUCGAAUUAGCUUGCCGGAGUUCAGAAAAAUGUCGAGACCGGAACUCCUAGCACCGCCGGAAAUUUUCUACAACGACGAUGAAGCUAGAAAAUAUACCUCAUCUUCUCGAAUUAUUGACAUACAGACACAACUUACAGAGAGAGCAUUGGAGCUCCUUGCUUUACCUGAUGACGGCGUCCCGAGAUUACUUCUUGAUAUUGGUUGCGGAUCAGGUCUAAGUGGGGAGACACUCACUGAGCAGGGACACCAGUGGCUUGGUUUGGAUAUAUCAGAAUCAAUGCUUGAUGUUGCAUUGGAGCGUGAGGUUGAGGGUGAUUUGAUGCUGGGUGACAUGGGUCAGGGCUUAGGGCUUCGAUCUGGUAUUCUGGAUGGUGCCAUCAGUAUCUCAGCUGUGCAGUGGUUGUGCAAUGCUGACAAAUCUUGUCAUGAACCUCGGAUAAGAUUGAAGGCUUUCUUUAGUUCCCUGUACAGAUGUUUGGGAAGGGGAGCAAGAGCAGUACUCCAGAUCUAUCCUGAAAAUCUUGCUCAGAGAGAGCUAAUUCUGGGUUUUGCCAUGCGAGCUGGAUUUUCUGGAGGCAUAGUUGUUGACUACCCACACAGUUCUAAAAGGAGGAAGGAAUACUUAGUUCUUACUUGUGGUCCGCCGUCUCUCAGUACCACUACUCCUGAAGGAAAGGGUGAAGAUGGAGAGAGUUGUUCUGAUGAAGAUAGUAGCGAGGAUGAAGAAAACCAGACAGUUUGCAUAUCUGACAGGCGCAGGCCUAGAAAAAAGCAAAAGGUUAACAAGAAAGGCAAAGGGAGGGACUGGGUUCUGAGGAAGAAAGAACAGAUGAGGAAAAAGGGGAAUGCAGUUCCUGCAGAUAGCAAAUACACUGCACGUAAAAGAAAAGAUCGGUUUUGAUCCAUUAGUAAGAUAUAUUCGGGUUGAUUUAUAUGUUUUCAACAGAACUUCAGCACAAGGAGCUAAAAUUAUUGCUUAUUGACCGAAGUGAGAAG
RNAcentral lists this unclassified non-coding RNA (1002 nucleotides) under Hevea brasiliensis (rubber tree). Lineage: Eukaryota; Viridiplantae; Streptophyta; Magnoliopsida; Malpighiales; Euphorbiaceae. The record is from RNAcentral.